AGUAAUGCAUAGGAAUCUACCCAGUAGCGGGGGACAACCUGGUGAAAACCAGGCUAAUACCGCAUACGCCCUACGGGGGAAAGCAGGGGAUCUUCGGACCUUGCACUAUUGGAUGAGCCUAUGUCAGAUUAGCUUGUUGGUGGGGUAAUGGCCCACCAAGGCGACGAUCUGUAGCUGGUUUGAGAGGAUGAUCAGCCACACUGGGACUGAGACACGGCCCAG
Molecule: ribosomal RNA, 222 nt
Filed under: uncultured bacterium
Lineage: Bacteria
Description: partial 16S ribosomal RNA
Rfam family: Bacterial small subunit ribosomal RNA
Source: RNAcentral